UACGUAGGGGGCAAGCGUUGUCCGGAUUUAUUGGGCGUAAAGAGCGUGUAGGCGGCUUGGUAGGUCCGCUGUGAAAACUCGAGGCUCAACCUCGAGACGCCGGUGGAAACUGUCAGGCUAGAGUCCGGAAGAGGAGAGUGGAAUUCCUGGUGUAGCGGUGAAAUGCGCAGAUAUCAGGAAGAACACCCGUGGCGAAGGCGGCUCUCUGGAACGGUACUGACGCUGAGACGCGAAAGCGUGGGGAGCAAACAGG
Molecule: ribosomal RNA, 253 nt
Filed under: uncultured bacterium
Lineage: Bacteria
Description: partial 16S ribosomal RNA
Rfam family: Bacterial small subunit ribosomal RNA
Source: RNAcentral